AUGGCUCAGGACGAACGCUGGCGGCGUGCUUAACACAUGCAAGUCGAACGAUGAAGCCCUUCGGGGUGGAUUAGUGGCGAACGGGUGAGUAACACGUGGGCAAUCUGCCCUUCACUCUGGGACAAGCCCUGGAAACGGGGUCUAAUACCGGAUAACACUCUGUCCCGCAUGGGACGGGGUUGAAAGCUCCGGCGGUGAAGGAUGAGCCCGCGGCCUAUCAGCUUGUUGGUGGGGUAAUGGCCUACCAAGGCGACGACGGGUAGCCGGCCUGAGAGGGCGACCGGCCACACUGGGACUGAGACACGGCCCAGACUCCUACGGGAGGCAGCAGUGGGGAAUAUUGCACAAUGGGCGAAAGCCUGAUGCAGCGACGCCGCGUGAGGGAUGACGGCCUUCGGGUUGUAAACCUCUUUCAGCAG
This 419-nucleotide ribosomal RNA is filed under the name Streptomyces badius. RNAcentral's name for it is "bacterial SSU rRNA". It matches the Rfam family "Bacterial small subunit ribosomal RNA", at positions 19 to 442 of the family's 1533-position model. The record is from RNAcentral. Lineage: Bacteria; Bacillati; Actinomycetota; Actinomycetes; Kitasatosporales; Streptomycetaceae.